GCGCCGCUAGCUCAGCUGGAUAGAGCGUCUGACUACGGAUCAGAAGGUCGGGGAUUCGAAUUCCUCGCGGCGCGCCA
This 77-nucleotide transfer RNA is filed under the name Deltaproteobacteria bacterium. Its description in RNAcentral is "tRNA-Arg". It matches the Rfam family "tRNA". Rfam says of the family: Transfer RNA (tRNA) molecules are approximately 80 nucleotides in length. Their secondary structure includes four short double-helical elements and three loops (D, anti-codon, and T loops). Lineage: Bacteria; Pseudomonadati; Myxococcota; Myxococcia. The record is from RNAcentral. RNAcentral also lists the same sequence under 1 other name.